RNAcentral lists this long non-coding RNA (394 nucleotides) under Setaria italica (foxtail millet). RNAcentral describes it as "long non-coding RNA (SITA_LNC002363)". Lineage: Eukaryota; Viridiplantae; Streptophyta; Magnoliopsida; Poales; Poaceae. The record is from RNAcentral.
AAGUUCCAAGUUACUUGAAGUACAUUUAUACACGUGCUCACUGCUCAAUCAACGACCUCAUCGCCUACCCAUGCACGCACACGCAUGUAGAGAGGACGUCUACUUGAAGUAGUAUGGGAGGUCGAGCACGUAGAGGAGGAAGUAGGCCCAGACCACGCCGGAGAUGCCGCCGAAGAAGAAGCCUCCGGUGAACUUGGCCCAGCCGUCGGCGGUCUGCAGCUUGUCGGCCUCCUUCUUGCGGCCGGUGAGCGUGAGCGUGGGCGCCGUGGACGGGUCGCCCUCGUUGAAGGAGGCGACGCCGUACAUGGUGAGGCAGACGCUGAGGAUGGUGACGAGCCCGGCGGCGCCCAGGGCGCCCGCCUGGCCGUGCACGGGCGUGUUGCGGAGCGGGCCG